This 685-nucleotide long non-coding RNA is filed under the name Medicago truncatula (barrel medic). RNAcentral's name for it is "lncRNA gene30667". Lineage: Eukaryota; Viridiplantae; Streptophyta; Magnoliopsida; Fabales; Fabaceae. The record is from RNAcentral.
CCCGUCCAUUAAUUUACAAUGAGAAAAGCAACAAGAGGUUGAGCACGAUAAUCUGUGUGCUGCUAUUAUCCCACAUUAGUUGCAAGAGAUUAGGGCGCAUAUAUGUACUACUGCAGAAAUUUCUUUAAAUUCAUUAAAUAAUAAAUAUUGAGUCUUGAUGCAGCGCUUAACUUUGAGAUUCCUUCAUAAUUUCAUUUCCUAUUCCCAUUCUUAUAUUAUUAAAAGAAAAUAUAAGACGUCAGGAAGGUGUUGCCUCCACCUCUUCCUCCCUCUCUUUUAGAUCUACCCAAUUGCGGAUCUGAGAUUUGGACGGCGGAUUUCGUCAGAUUUCGACGGGGUUGACGAUGACGAUGACGAUGAUGGGGACGAUAGUGGUUGUGGGACGCAGGAUGUUUCCGCAAGAGAAGAGAGGAGAGAAUGGAAAGAGGAAGAAAAUGUGUUUUUUUCUUUGGGUUUGUAUUGGUUGUGAGGUUGAAGAAAGUGUGAAAAAAUUAUAGUGUGGAGGGAUUAUAGUAAGAUCAAUGUUCUUCAUCAAUUCAAUGGUGACACAAGUCAUUUUUGUUAUACAAAAAAAAAAAUCAGUACUUUUUAAAGUCUCCUACCGUGGGAGACCUAUUCAAGUCUCCUAUCGGAAACGGCGCCAUGAGAAUAAUACCGAAAAACAAAAUUCAAAUAAAAGCUUAGU